Molecule: ribosomal RNA, 236 nt
Filed under: uncultured bacterium
Lineage: Bacteria
Description: partial 16S ribosomal RNA
Rfam family: Bacterial small subunit ribosomal RNA
Source: RNAcentral
UACGGAGGGUGCAAGCGUUGUUCGGAAUCACUGGGCGUAAAGCGCGUGUAGGCGGCCUCCUAAGUCUGAUGUGAAAGCCCGGGGCUCACCCCCCGGAAGUGCAUUGGAUACUGGGAGGCUGGAGUACCGGAGAGGAGGGUGGAAUUCCUGGUGUAGCGGUGAAAAUGCGUAGAUAUCAGGAGGAACACCGUGGCGAAGGCGGCCCUCUGGACGGAUACUGACGCUGAGACGCGACA